UACGUAGGGGGCAAGCGUUGUCCGGAAUUAUUGGGCGUAAAGCGCGCGCAGGCGGUUCUUUAAGUCUGAUGUGAAAGCCCACGGCUCAACCGUGGAGGGUCAUUGGAAACUGGAGAACUUGAGUACAGAAGAGGAAAGCGGAAUUCCACGUGUAGCGGUGAAAUGCGUAGAGAUGUGGAGGAACACCAGUGGCGAAGGCGGCUUUCUGGUCUGUAACUGACGCUGAGGCGCGAAAGCGUGGGGAGCAAACAGG
This 253-nucleotide ribosomal RNA is filed under the name uncultured bacterium. RNAcentral's name for it is "partial 16S ribosomal RNA". It matches the Rfam family "Bacterial small subunit ribosomal RNA", at positions 524 to 776 of the family's 1533-position model. The record is from RNAcentral.